AACGAACGUCUGGCGGCAUGCCUAACACGUGCAAGUCGAACGAGACCUUCGGGUCGUAGUGGCGCACGGGUGCGUAACGCGUGGGAAUCUGCCCUUGGGUUCGGAAUAACUCGCCGAAAGGCGUGCUAAUACCGGAUGAUGUCGUAAGACCAAAGAUUUAUCGCCCAGGGAUGAGCCCGCGUAAGAUUAGGUAGUUGGUGAGGUAACGGCCCACCAAGGCAACGAUCGGUAGCCGGACUGAGAGGUUGAACGGCCACAUUGGGACUGAGACACGGCCCAG
This 280-nucleotide ribosomal RNA is filed under the name uncultured bacterium. Its description in RNAcentral is "partial 16S ribosomal RNA". It matches the Rfam family "Bacterial small subunit ribosomal RNA", at positions 36 to 334 of the family's 1533-position model. The record is from RNAcentral.